Arabidopsis thaliana (thale cress) is the source of this 234-nucleotide long non-coding RNA. RefSeq annotates it as other RNA. The transcript has a single exon. NCBI's taxonomy places the organism in Eukaryota, Viridiplantae, Streptophyta, Magnoliopsida, Brassicales, Brassicaceae. The record is from RefSeq.
GGAACAAUUGAAAGAGACAGAACAAAAUAACAUUUUCUUAUGAAACUUUUAGCCUAAUAUAUCCGACCAUAUGAAGACAUGAGUCAUCUAUCUCAAGAAAAUGGGCCGAAGCUAAGCCCAAAAUCGAUAUAUGUGUGGUUUACACCAGUCUGGUUAAGUAACUCGUGACUCACCGACGUGACUCUCAUCAAUCUUCAUCACUCUCCCCCGUGCGCCGUCGGUGCUAUUCCACGC